GAUGAACGCUAGCGGGAGGCCUAACACAUGCAAGCCGAGCGGUAGAGUUUCUUCGGAAACUUGAGAGCGGCGCACGGGUGCGUAACACGUGUGCAACCUACCUUUAUCUGGGGGAUAGCCUUUCGAAAGGAAGAUUAAUACCCCAUAAUAUAAUGAUUGUCAUCAAUUAUUAUUGAAAACUCCGGUGGUUAGAGAUGGGCACGCGCAAGAUUAGAUAGUUGGUGAGGUAACGGCUCACCAAGUCAAUGAUCUUUAGGGGUCCUGAGAGGGAGAUCCCCCACACUGGUACUGGGACACGGACCAGACUCCUACGGGAGGCAGCAGUGAGGAAUAUUGGACAACGGGUGAGAGCCUGAUCCAGCCAUCCCGCGUGAAGGAUGACGGCCCUAUGGAUUGUAAACUUCUUUUGUACAGGGAUAAACCUACCCUCGUGAGGGUAGCUGAAGGUACUGUACGAAUAAGCACCGGCUAACUCCGUG
Molecule: ribosomal RNA, 479 nt
Filed under: uncultured bacterium
Lineage: Bacteria
Description: partial 16S ribosomal RNA
Rfam family: Bacterial small subunit ribosomal RNA
Source: RNAcentral